CUACGGGAUGCUCCAGUGGGGAAUAUUGGACAAUGGACCAAAAGUCUGAUCCAGCAAUUCUGUGUGCACGAUGAAGGUUUUAGGAUCGUAAAGUGCUUUCAACAGGGAAGAAGUUCUGACGGUACCUGUAGAAGAAGUGACGGCUAAAUACGUGCCAGCAGCCGCGGUAAUACGUAUGUCACAAGCGUUAUCCGGAUUUAUUGGGCAUAAAGGGCAUCUAGGCGGCUUAGCAAGUCUGAUGUGAAAAUGCGGGGCUCAACCCCGUAUUGCGUUGGAAACUACUAAGCUAGAGUAUUGGAGAGGUAGGCGGAACUACAUGUGUAGAGGUGAAAUUCGUAGAUAUAUGUAGGAAUGCCGAUGACGAAGGUAGCUUACUGGACAAUUACUGACGCUGAAGUGCGAAAGCUAGGGGAGCGAACAGGAUUAGAUACCCUAGUAGUC
This 441-nucleotide ribosomal RNA is filed under the name uncultured bacterium. Its description in RNAcentral is "partial 16S ribosomal RNA". It matches the Rfam family "Bacterial small subunit ribosomal RNA", at positions 339 to 795 of the family's 1533-position model. The record is from RNAcentral.